Molecule: small RNA, 879 nt
Filed under: Pan troglodytes (chimpanzee)
Lineage: Eukaryota; Metazoa; Chordata; Mammalia; Primates; Hominidae
Description: processed transcript
Source: RNAcentral
CGGUGGCUGCUGGGCUGGCGGGGCGCAGGCCGCGGGACCCGAGCCCGGGGGAGCGAGAGAGCGGAGGCGCCGAGGAUCCGAUUCAUUCGCUGGGGAGACCUAUGGGCCGAAGCCGUGUAGAUGCGUUUUAAGGGGCCUCGGCUCCGCAACUGCCACUCCUCCUCGGGGUGUUGCACAAGUUUCGAGGUCACCGGCGACCCCCCCUAGCAGCGCUCCUGGCUCUGGCCCCCGCGAAGGAGGACGGAGUUUGGCAGAGAUGGAGUUGGUCCAGCAUAUUGGAAUCCCUGCCAGUAAGAUCAUCUGCGCCAACCCCUGUAAGCAAAUUGCACAGAUCAAAUAUGCUGCCAAGCAUGGGAUCCAGCUGCUGAGCUUUGACAAUGAGAUGGAGCUGGCAAAGGUGGUAAAGAGCCACCCCAGUGCCAAGAUGGUUCUGUGCAUUGCUACUGAUGACUCCCACUCCCUGAGCUGCCUGAGCCUAAAGUUUGGAGUGUCACUGAAAUCCUGCAGACACCUGCUUGAAAAUGCGAAGAAGAACCAUGCGGAGGUGGUGGGUGUGAGUUUUCACAUUGGCAGUGGCUGUCCUGACCCUCAGGCCUAUGCUCAGUCCAUCGCAGAUGCCCGGCUCGUGUUUGAAAUGGGCACCGAGCUGGGUCACAAGAUGCACGUUCUGGACCUUGGUGGUGGCUUCCCUGGCACAGAAGGGGCCAAAGUGAGAUUUGAAGAGAUUGCUUCCGUGAUCAACUCAGCCUUGGACCUGUACUUCCCAGAGGGCUGUGGCGUGGACAUCUUUGCUGAGCUGGGGCGCUACUACGUGACCUCGGCCUUCACUGUGGCAGUCAGCAUCAUUGCCAAGAAGGAGGUUCUGCUAGACCAGCCUGG